AUGAGGCCAGACAAGUCGUUGUGCCAAUCCAAUGACUUUCCAUUUCCAACAAUGGAAAGUCAUCCGAAGAAUCAUGUCUCGGUGAGUAGUCCAGCUCCAGCAACAAGACCACAUCUGGUUUCCACCAAGAAGCUGGACCAGCGGCAUUGUACUCAGUUAAGGGCGUAUUUCAGAGGGGAGCAUACGUAUUACUGUGAUUCCCUUGAGUUUCGUGUGCUGCAUUACCGUUAUAAGUUACCAGCAGCAAAGAAAGAGAGUCACGUACUAAUACAUGAUAAGGUAGUCUGCUCUUGCAGAUCAUCUGGUUGA
RNAcentral lists this ribosomal RNA (309 nucleotides) under Triticum aestivum (bread wheat). Its description in RNAcentral is "partial small subunit ribosomal RNA". Lineage: Eukaryota; Viridiplantae; Streptophyta; Magnoliopsida; Poales; Poaceae. The record is from RNAcentral.